Long non-coding RNA from Phragmites australis (common reed), 524 nucleotides. RefSeq lists it as uncharacterized. Lineage: Eukaryota; Viridiplantae; Streptophyta; Magnoliopsida; Poales; Poaceae. The transcript has 3 exons. The record is from RefSeq and is a predicted model, not a curated record.
AUCGACUCGGCCGCUACUCCCAGUCUCUCCCAGAUUCGAGCAAGCAGCACGAGCACGAGCCCGGCCAUACGACCUCGGAAGGACACUUCACACCACCGGGUGGAGGCACUCGAGGCCCAGCUGGAACAAGAGAGGAGGAUACGGGAGCAAAUGCAGGCGACGAUGGAGGCCGAGCAGCGGAGAAUGGUGGAGAUUCUUCAGUACAUGCAAAGUAUUGGCGCCGCUACGGGUGUAGCUCCGCCACCUUCGCUAUUCGCUCCACCUCCACCUCCUCACUAUUCUACUCCUAAUCAAUCGGCGGCAUCGAACGAUCCUCAUGCUUCAGCGAAUCCUUCACCAAAUCAGUUUCAUUGACCAUCUUGGUGAUGAUACUUGUGGUUGUUAAUGGUACUUCUAUUUGCAAUUAUGGUUGUAGAUGAUGGAGCACUUGGAUUACUUGUGAACUUAUUUGUGAUAUAUUGUGAGACAUGUGACGUUUGUGAUAUAUAUGUGGUGUUGGUGAUAUAUAUGUGAUGUUGAUGAUA